UACGUAGGGUGCAAGCGUUGUCCGGAAUUAUUGGGCGUAAAGAGCUCGUAGGCGGUCUGUCGCGUCGGCUGUGAAAACCCGGAGCUCAACUCCGGGCCUGCAGUCGAUACGGGCAGACUAGAGUGUGUCAGAGGAUGGUGGAAUUCCCGGUGUAGCGGUGAAAUGCGUAGAGAUCGGGAGGAACAUCAGUGGCGAAGGCGGCCAUCUGGGACAACACUGACGCUGAAGCACGAAAGCGUGGGGAGCAAACAGG
RNAcentral lists this ribosomal RNA (253 nucleotides) under uncultured bacterium. Its description in RNAcentral is "partial 16S ribosomal RNA". It matches the Rfam family "Bacterial small subunit ribosomal RNA", at positions 524 to 776 of the family's 1533-position model. The record is from RNAcentral.